CCUACGGGAGGCAGCAGUGGGGAAUAUUGGGCAAUGGGCGCAAGCCUGACCCAGCAACGCCGCGUGAAGGAAGAAGGCUUUCGGGUUGUAAACUUCUUUUCUCAGGGACGAAGCAAGUAACGGUACCUGAGGAAUAAGCCACGGCUAACUACGUGCCAGCAGCCGCGGUAAUACGUAGGUGGCAAGCGUUAUUCGGAUUUACUGGGUGUAAAGGGCGUGUAGGCGGGUCUGCAGGUCAGAUGUGAAAACCACGGGCUCAACCUGUGGCCUGCAUUUGAAACUGUAGGUCUUGAGUACUGGAGAGGCAGACGGAAUGCCUAGUGUAGCAGUGAAAUGCGUAGAUAUUAGGAGGAACACCAGUGGCGAAGGCGGUCUGCUGGACAGCAACGGACGCUGAGGCGCGAAGGCGUGGGUAUCGAACGGGAUUAGAUACCCGGGUAGUC
This 443-nucleotide ribosomal RNA is filed under the name uncultured bacterium. RNAcentral's name for it is "partial 16S ribosomal RNA". It matches the Rfam family "Bacterial small subunit ribosomal RNA", at positions 338 to 795 of the family's 1533-position model. The record is from RNAcentral.